UACGAAGGGGGCUAGCGUUGUUCGGAAUUACUGGGCGUAAAGCGCGCGCAGGCGGUUUUCCAAGUCAGUGGUGAAAGCCCGGAGCUCAACUCCGGAAUUGCCAUUGAAACUGUUAAACUUGAGGACGAGAGAGGUGAGUGGAAUUCCCAGUGUAGAGGUGAAAUUCGUAGAUAUUGGGAAGAACACCGGAGGCGAAGGCGGCUUGCUGGGCGUGAUCUGACGCUGAGGCGCGAAAGCGUGGGGAGCGAACAGG
RNAcentral lists this ribosomal RNA (253 nucleotides) under uncultured bacterium. RNAcentral describes it as "partial 16S ribosomal RNA". It matches the Rfam family "Bacterial small subunit ribosomal RNA", at positions 524 to 776 of the family's 1533-position model. The record is from RNAcentral.